AGAACGAACGCUUGCGGCAUGCUUAAAACAUGCAAGUCGAACGAGAAAGGGACUUCGGUCCUGAGUAAAGUGGCGCACGGGUGAGUAACACGUAGCUAACGUUCCUCUUCGCUGGGGAUAACUUCGGGAAACCGAAGCUAAUACCGAAUGAUCUAAUCGAAUCUUGGGAUUUGAUUGGUAAAGCUUUACAGCGCGAAGAGAUCGGGUUGCGUCCCAUUAGCUUGUUGGUAGGGUAUGGCCUACCAAGGCGACGAUGGGUAGCUGGUCUGAGAGGAUGAUCAGCCACACUGGAACUGAAACACGUCCAGACU
Molecule: ribosomal RNA, 311 nt
Filed under: uncultured soil bacterium
Lineage: Bacteria
Description: bacterial SSU rRNA
Rfam family: Bacterial small subunit ribosomal RNA
Source: RNAcentral